GCACUUUCUUUAAUUAAAAAAAAAUGGAAACAGUCAAUUAUAACCCACAAAACACAACCUAAUUCCUAAAUGUCUAAACCUCCUCUCUGACUCUCUCUCUCUCUCUCGCCAACUUGUCACUCGCCAUCCUCACAGUCUCUCAUCAAAUCGUCAGCACCGAAGAAAUAUUUUCAGUUGCCUUCUUUCUCUCGCCGUCUCUCACUAUCUCUUGUGAUAAAGAGUGAAAAAAUUGCUAAAGCUUGAUAGCCAUUGGAGCUGUAAAUUGUAAUAAAUCUCUAGUAGAAGGUAGAGGAAAUGGAAUACAAAUUCCCAGGUAAAGUCGUUUCUUGUAAUUUCAAUCUGUUAAGAAACCUCAGGUUUUUCUUGGUAAUUGCUGCUAUUGGGUUUUGUAUUACCCCCGACUGAUAUGCCUAUGAAUUGUUCGAUUAUUCUCCUGCAUGAACUGAUAUUCUUUGGAAGAAGAUAUCAGAUUCAUUCUAUGGACUUUGUUUGAAAUCUUAACUUGAAAUUUCAAUUUUGAUAGAUGCUAACCAACUAGGAGUUGAGUAUAUUUCUUGAUGGGCUUGGGCGCUUUUCUCAGUGAAUCAAAUUUUCUUAGUGUUUAAUUUGUUUUAAUGUCUUGAUCAUUGUUCAUGGAGAGAGAUUGCGUAUUGGGAUUUACAUUUUUUAGUUGGCAGCUUGAUUUUGAAAGAUUCAAUUUCUGAUGGUCAUUCCAAUGUGGUAGUAAAUACAAAGAAAUAUAGAUAUAGUAGAUUUCGUUGGAGUUUUGUAGUAAAUGCAUCUACUUUUUGGUAGAUGAAAUGUUGAGUGUUUGUUCGUUAAGUAAUAUGUUCCAGUGAAAUGAGUGUAACUUCAGAAUUAAAUGCAUAGAAGUAAAAUUUGGCUUAUUUUUAGCAUUGUACAUAACAAAAAUUUGCUCUUCAUUCAUAGAAGUAAAAUUUAGCAUAAUUUUGGCAUUAUACAGAGCAAAAAUUUUGCUCUUCUUCAUUUUAUGUUGAUGCUUUUGGGUGUCACUGAGAAAGGUUUUUCAAAAAAUGUUGCUAGCAUGACCGCAUGAGGAGUGUAAAUGCUUGGGUUGGGGCCGGUUUUUGAUGUAUUUUCAAAUUAAAUUGCUUGUUUGUUUGACAAAAAGAAAUUUAAAGCAAAAUCAUUGCUAUGCCUGUGAUGUGAAUGUAGUUAAGAUGUCGUCUUACUAGAGAUUUAUUACAAUUUACAUUACCUUCAUCCAAUUUAGUAGGUGCAUGCUUGUGGAUAGUAUUUAUCUAAAAUAGCAUUUUUGUACACAACAAUAACAAAUAGCAUUUCUGCCAUCUUUACUUUUGUCUUCAAUGUGGGGAUUAAAAAGUCGCGCUUUACCCACAGAUACACGUUGAGUAGGGAUGUCAUAUUUUAUGGAGAUAAUACUUGGAACUGAGAGAAAAGCCAUGGUUAGCAAAUCAAGAAUUGAAGUCUCCAUUUUGUAGAAUAUAAGAUGUAAAAUUGUACCACUGCCACUUGAAAGAAAGCUAAUGAAAGUAUUGCAUUUGUUUAGAAAAAUAAUUGAAAAUAUACACAUGUAUUUAGUUUGCUCAACUCAUGAAGUGAAAAACAAAAUUCAAAAACUUACUUUGAUGAACAGUCAGAUGUUGUACGUUGGCAUUGGUAUUUGAACUUUCAACUUCAAUUUCAAACUGAUAAUCCAUGUUUUGCUGUUGUUUGAGAACUGAUAGCUAGCUAUUAAUUAAAAAGCGGUCGAGUUAAAAUGCAAAAAAGAACAUUGAUACAACUAGAAUGGCCGAUGAUAUAAAGAAUAAUUAUGAUAAAAUUUCAAGACUAAUUGUACUACUAUCAUUGUCUUUAUGAAAAUUUCAUUUUUAUAUUUUUGUUUUAUUCAAGUUCUUGUCAACUCUACCUGGUCUUGGAAAGAAAUUGAUUUAUACUUCCUAAAUUUGCAAUUGAGCAGUUAUACUGUUAUAGUUUAUGGGUUUUCUAAUAUGGAAAUGUGGGCAGUAAUUUAAUUAAUUGAUUAGCAAGAUCUUAAAUUUCCUGCAUUUGACAUAUUUUGAGGAUAAUUUUUUAAGUUAUACUGUCGACAGUUUAAAAUUUUAUGCAUGAGCAAGAGGAGGAGGUACCAAUGGAUCACAUUCUUAUGAGAGAAGUUGUGAUUGAAAUUGAGUGUGAUGUAAAUAUGAGCCGAGAAGCAAGAAGCCCCAACCUUUUGGAUGUAAACUCGGGAAGAUUUCUUCUGAUAAGUUCUACAGUGCAGCAGUAAGUUUAGAUGGACCAAUCAGGGGUGAAAAUGGGGCGAGCUUGAGCAGCAAUGUGAAGAAUCCAAGCGAUGUUUCUCCGGUUCUGGAGAAGAACGUAAGGAAGGAAAAGCGCAAGUCAAAUAGUGCCAAGAAGCUGCCUAAACCGCCUCGUCCUCCAAGAGGAUUGUCACU
Molecule: long non-coding RNA, 2420 nt
Filed under: Olea europaea (common olive)
Lineage: Eukaryota; Viridiplantae; Streptophyta; Magnoliopsida; Lamiales; Oleaceae
Description: long non-coding RNA (OEUR_LNC004318)
Source: RNAcentral